UACGUAGGGAGCAAGCGUUGUUCGGAUUUACUGGGCGUAAAGGGCGCGUAGGCGGCAAAUUAAGUCAGCUGUGAAAUCUCCGAGCUUAACUCGGAACUGUCAGCUGAUACUGAUCUGCUAGAGUGCGGAAGGGGCAAUCGGAAUUCUUGGUGUAGCGGUGAAAUGCGUAGAUAUCAAGAGGAACACCUGAGGUGAAGACGGGUUGCUGAGCCGACACUGACGCUGAGUGCGCGAAAGCCAGGGGAGCAAACGGG
Molecule: ribosomal RNA, 254 nt
Filed under: uncultured bacterium
Lineage: Bacteria
Description: partial 16S ribosomal RNA
Rfam family: Bacterial small subunit ribosomal RNA
Source: RNAcentral